GACGAACGCUGGCGGCGUGCCUAAUACAUGCAAGUCGAACGGUCUUUUCUAUGGAAGCUUGCUUCCACUGAGAAGAUAGUGGCGAACGGGUGAGUAACACGUGGGUAACCUGCCCAUAAGAGGGGGAUAACAUCCGGAAACGGGUGCUAAUACCGCAUAGUUUUCUUGAUCGCAUGAUCGGGAAAGGAAAGACGGCCUUUGUGCUGUCGCUUAUGGAUGGACCCGCGGCGUAUUAGUUAGUUGGUGAGGUAACGGCUCACCAAGACGAUGAUACGUAGCCGACCUGAGAGGGUGAUCGGCCACAUUGGGACUGAGACACGGCCCAAACUCCUACGGGAGGCAGCAGUAGGGAAUCUUCCGCAAUGGACGAAAGUCUGACGGAGCAACGCCGCGUGAGUGAAGAAGGUUUUCGGAUCGUAAAACUCUGUUGUCAGAGAAGAACAAGUUGGAGAGUAACUGCUCCAGCCUUGACGGUAUCUGACCAGAAAGCCACGGCUAACUACGUG
This 506-nucleotide ribosomal RNA is filed under the name uncultured bacterium. Its description in RNAcentral is "bacterial SSU rRNA". It matches the Rfam family "Bacterial small subunit ribosomal RNA", at positions 28 to 507 of the family's 1533-position model. RNAcentral also lists the same sequence under 1 other name. The record is from RNAcentral.